GGCGGCAUAGCUCAGUUGGUUAGAGCGCACGACUCAUAAUCGUGAGGUCCCGAGAUCGAGUCUCGGUGCCGCUACCC
This 77-nucleotide transfer RNA is filed under the name Arthrobacter alpinus. Its description in RNAcentral is "tRNA-Met". It matches the Rfam family "tRNA". Rfam says of the family: Transfer RNA (tRNA) molecules are approximately 80 nucleotides in length. Their secondary structure includes four short double-helical elements and three loops (D, anti-codon, and T loops). Lineage: Bacteria; Bacillati; Actinomycetota; Actinomycetes; Micrococcales; Micrococcaceae. The record is from RNAcentral.